This 45-nucleotide non-coding RNA is filed under the name Schistosoma haematobium. Lineage: Eukaryota; Metazoa; Platyhelminthes; Trematoda; Strigeidida; Schistosomatidae. The record is from RNAcentral.
AUUCAUCUGAUGAGUCCCAAAUAGGAUGAAAUACGCGACCUGGAU